AACACAUGCAUCAAAAGGGUAUCAAAUUCACCCAUAAUACCUCAUACAUUCAGAGCAUUCAAAUUAAAAGCAUAAAGUAAUGGAAUAAGGCAAACCUGACUGGAGAGAUCGAAUGAAAUUGAAUUGCCCGGUUGGGUUUGCAAAGAAAUCUGAGGGUUUAUAUGAGAUGGAAUUGGUUCUUUGCAGAUGAGAGGUUGCUCUGAACUCUGUUAGCUCUUCUCUCACUAUCGUUUUCCCAGCCA
This 242-nucleotide long non-coding RNA is filed under the name Lathyrus oleraceus (garden pea). RNAcentral's name for it is "Pisum sativum (pea) long non-coding RNA (PSAT_LNC025036)". The record is from RNAcentral. Lineage: Eukaryota; Viridiplantae; Streptophyta; Magnoliopsida; Fabales; Fabaceae.